Molecule: ribosomal RNA, 627 nt
Filed under: Triticum aestivum (bread wheat)
Lineage: Eukaryota; Viridiplantae; Streptophyta; Magnoliopsida; Poales; Poaceae
Description: partial small subunit ribosomal RNA
Source: RNAcentral
AUGGAUCCACCCGUGCCCCGCCCCUGCCUCCUGCAACUAGCCCCAACCGACUCCUCACGUCCAUCCCGCGCGCCGGCCAUCGACUUCCUCCCUCGUGCCGGCCGCCAACUCCCUCCCGCGCGCCACCACCGCCCCCCGCGCUGGUCGCCGCCUCCCUCCCCCACGUCGUCGGACGCCGCGUCCCUCCCCAAUGCCGCCCUCCGCCUCCUUCCUCCCCAACGCCGCCCUCCGCUGCCUGCCUUCCCCGCGCAGCCCUCCACCGCCUCCCACCCCAACGCCACCCUCCGCCGCCUGCCUCCCCCGCUCCGCCCUCCGCCGCCUCCCUCCCGAUGUCUUGCCACCGCGUAUCUUUCCUGCGAUGCGGAUUGCUCCCUCCACAGCAACAACUACGUUGGCGUGCACAGGAGUGUUUUUGUUCCUAGACCAGUUGCUCAACGACAGAAUUGUGUAUCGCACAGUACAUGUAUUACUACUGUGAAGGUUAAGAAAUCGGAACUUCAAAGAAGUAUUGACAGCAUAACUACUGUAUAUUCACGGAGUCGGGUUUUGCUCCUGCAUCAUCUCGUCUCCUCCGUUCAGCAAAAGCCACCAGAUAAGUUCACACAUAUGGUUUUGUGCUUUCUAUAA